AGAGUUUGAUCCUGGCUCAGGAUGAACGCUGGCGGCAUGCCUAAUACAUGCAAGUCGAACGAGGAUCCUUGUGGAUCCUAGUGGCGAACGGGUGAGUAACACGUAGGGAACCUGCCCGCGCACCGGGAAUACGCUCUGGAAACGGAGAACAAAUCCCGAUGUACAGGAAGGAGGCAUCUUCUUUCUGUGAAACAUCCUGUAAGGGAUGGGGCGCGGAUGGACCUGCGGUGCAUUAGUUGGUUGGCGAGGGUAAAGGCCCACCAAGACGAUGAUGCAUAGCCGGCCUGAGAGGGCGGACGGCCACAUUGGGACUGAGACACGGCCCAGACUCCUGCGGGAGGCAGCAGUAGGGAAUUUUCGUCAAUGGGCGCAAGCCUGAACGAGCGAUGCCGCGUGAGUGAAGAAGGCCUUCGGGUCGUAAAGCUCUGUUGCGGGGGAAAAAAGGCAUCUGCAGGAAAUGGUAGAUGACAGAUGGUGCCCCGCCAGAAAGUCACGGCUAACUACGUGCCAGCAGCCGCGGUAAUACGUAGGUGGCGAGCGUUAUCCGGAAUGAUUGGGCGUAAAGGGUGCGCAGGCGGUCCUGCAAGUCUGGAGUGAAACGUAUGAGCUCAACUCAUGCAUGGCUCUGGAAACUGGAGGACUGGAGAGCAAGAGAGGGCGGUGGAACUCCAUGUGUAGCGGUAAAAUG
Molecule: ribosomal RNA, 688 nt
Filed under: uncultured bacterium
Lineage: Bacteria
Description: bacterial SSU rRNA
Rfam family: Bacterial small subunit ribosomal RNA
Source: RNAcentral